This 39-nucleotide ribosomal RNA is filed under the name Cylindrocladiella peruviana. Its description in RNAcentral is "partial 28S ribosomal RNA". Lineage: Eukaryota; Fungi; Ascomycota; Sordariomycetes; Hypocreales; Nectriaceae. The record is from RNAcentral.
UUUGACCUCGAAUGAAGUAGGAUUACCCGCUGAACUUAA